UACGUAGGGGGCAAGCGUUGUCCGGAAUCAUUGGGCGUAAAGCGCGUGUAGGCGGCUCGAUAAGUCUGCUGUGAAAGUCCAGGGCUCAACCCUGGAAAGCCGGUGGAAACUGUCGGGCUAGAGUCCGGAAGAGGCGAGUGGAAUUCCUGGUGUAGCGGUGAAAUGCGCAGAGAUCAGGAGGAACACCAAUGGCGAAGGCAGCUCGCUGGGACGGUACUGACGCUGAGGAGCGAAAGCGUGGGGAGCGAACAGG
Molecule: ribosomal RNA, 253 nt
Filed under: uncultured bacterium
Lineage: Bacteria
Description: partial 16S ribosomal RNA
Rfam family: Bacterial small subunit ribosomal RNA
Source: RNAcentral